CUCCCCUCUCCUCUUCUUCUCCCACCCGAUCUAUUUUCCUUCUUCUCUCAAUACAAGUAAAUCCGACGGCUCUUCUAUUCUCCGAUGGUGGUCCAGCAAUUUCUCCGGUGAAGUAAAUCCGGCGGGCUUUGGUACAAGGUGAUGUGCCGGGAGAUGCUUGAGGACAUCAUUUGAAGUAGACUCUUUGGAAGAUUAGAUAAAUAUCACACUUGCUUAGGCAUAUGUAUUUUUUUUUGUAUAUUUUGGGGGACUUGUACAUGAUCCAUAUGAUACACUUAG
Non-coding RNA from Nicotiana tabacum (common tobacco), 279 nucleotides. NCBI's taxonomy places the organism in Eukaryota, Viridiplantae, Streptophyta, Magnoliopsida, Solanales, Solanaceae. The record is from RefSeq and is a predicted model, not a curated record.